RNAcentral lists this transfer RNA (69 nucleotides) under Teratoscincus microlepis (Small-scaled wonder gecko). Its description in RNAcentral is "tRNA-His". Lineage: Eukaryota; Metazoa; Chordata; Lepidosauria; Squamata; Sphaerodactylidae. The record is from RNAcentral.
GUAAACAUAGUUUAAAAUAAAACACUAAGCUGUGGACUUAAUAAUAGAACCCAUCCCUUCUUGUUUACC